Molecule: transfer RNA, 73 nt
Filed under: Orchesella cincta
Lineage: Eukaryota; Metazoa; Arthropoda; Collembola; Entomobryomorpha; Orchesellidae
Rfam family: tRNA
About the family: Transfer RNA (tRNA) molecules are approximately 80 nucleotides in length.
Source: Rfam by way of RNAcentral
GACUCUGUGGCCUAAUGGAUAUGGCGUCGGACUUCGGAUCCGAAGAUUGCGAGUUCGAGUCUCGUCAGAGUCA